AGGGAAUAUUGCUCAAUGGGCGAAAGCCUGAAGCAGCAACGCCGCGUGGAGGAUGAAGGUCUUCGGAUUGUAAACUCCUUUUCUAAGAGAAGAUUAUGACGGUAUCUUAGGAAUAAGUACCGGCUAACUCCGUGCCAGCAGCCGCGGUAAUACGGAGGGUGCAAGCGUUACUCGGAAUCACUGGGCGUAAAGAGCACGUAGGCGACCUUGCAAGUCAGAUGUGAAAUCCAACGGCUUAACCGUUGAACUGCAUUUGAAACGUGCACAGGCUAGAGUAUGGGAGAGGUAGGUGGAAUUCUCGGUGUAGGGGUAAAAUCCGUAGAGAUCGAGAGGAAUACUCAUUGCGAAGGCGACCUGCUGGAACAUUACUGACGCUGAGGUGCGAAAGCGUGGGGAGCAAACA
Molecule: ribosomal RNA, 403 nt
Filed under: uncultured Wolinella sp.
Lineage: Bacteria; Pseudomonadati; Campylobacterota; Epsilonproteobacteria; Campylobacterales; Helicobacteraceae
Description: bacterial SSU rRNA
Rfam family: Bacterial small subunit ribosomal RNA
Source: RNAcentral